RNAcentral lists this ribosomal RNA (1448 nucleotides) under Lactiplantibacillus plantarum. Its description in RNAcentral is "bacterial SSU rRNA". It matches the Rfam family "Bacterial small subunit ribosomal RNA". The record is from RNAcentral. Lineage: Bacteria; Bacillati; Bacillota; Bacilli; Lactobacillales; Lactobacillaceae.
CAAGUCGAACGAACUCUGGGUAUUGAUUGGUGCUUGCAUCAUGAUUUACAUUUGAGUGAGUGGCGAACUGGUGAGUAACACGUGGGAAACCUGCCCAGAAGCGGGGGAUAACACCUGGAAACAGAUGCUAAUACCGCAUAACAACUUGGACCGCAUGGUCCGAGCUUGAAAGAUGGCUUCGGCUAUCACUUUUGGAUGGUCCCGCGGCGUAUUAGCUAGAUGGUGGGGUAACGGCUCACCAUGGCAAUGAUACGUAGCCGACCUGAGAGGGUAAUCGGCCACAUUGGGACUGAGACACGGCCCAAACUCCUACGGGAGGCAGCAGUAGGGAAUCUUCCACAAUGGACGAAAGUCUGAUGGAGCAACGCCGCGUGAGUGAAGAAGGGUUUCGGCUCGUAAAACUCUGUUGUUAAAGAAGAACAUAUCUGAGAGUAACUGUUCAGGUAUUGACGGUAUUUAACCAGAAAGCCACGGCUAACUACGUGCCAGCAGCCGCGGUAAUACGUAGGUGGCAAGCGUUGUCCGGAUUUAUUGGGCGUAAAGCGAGCGCAGGCGGUUUUUUAAGUCUGAUGUGAAAGCCUUCGGCUCAACCGAAGAAGUGCAUCGGAAACUGGGAAACUUGAGUGCAGAAGAGGACAGUGGAACUCCAUGUGUAGCGGUGAAAUGCGUAGAUAUAUGGAAGAACACCAGUGGCGAAGGCGGCUGUCUGGUCUGUAACUGACGCUGAGGCUCGAAAGUAUGGGUAGCAAACAGGAUUAGAUACCCUGGUAGUCCAUACCGUAAACGAUGAAUGCUAAGUGUUGGAGGGUUUCCGCCCUUCAGUGCUGCAGCUAACGCAUUAAGCAUUCCGCCUGGGGAGUACGGCCGCAAGGCUGAAACUCAAAGGAAUUGACGGGGGCCCGCACAAGCGGUGGAGCAUGUGGUUUAAUUCGAAGCUACGCGAAGAACCUUACCAGGUCUUGACAUACUAUGCAAAUCUAAGAGAUUAGACGUUCCCUUCGGGGACAUGGAUACAGGUGGUGCAUGGUUGUCGUCAGCUCGUGUCGUGAGAUGUUGGGUUAAGUCCCGCAACGAGCGCAACCCUUAUUAUCAGUUGCCAGCAUUAAGUUGGGCACUCUGGUGAGACUGCCGGUGACAAACCGGAGGAAGGUGGGGAUGACGUCAAAUCAUCAUGCCCCUUAUGACCUGGGCUACACACGUGCUACAAUGGAUGGUACAACGAGUUGCGAACUCGCGAGAGUAAGCUAAUCUCUUAAAGCCAUUCUCAGUUCGGAUUGUAGGCUGCAACUCGCCUACAUGAAGUCGGAAUCGCUAGUAAUCGCGGAUCAGCAUGCCGCGGUGAAUACGUUCCCGGGCCUUGUACACACCGCCCGUCACACCAUGAGAGUUUGUAACACCCAAAGUCGGUGGGGUAACCUUUUAGGAACCAGCCGCCUAAGGUGGGACAG